AAUCGUGGCGCGGGGCGUGCGUCCUCGGGUUUGGUGUUAUUGCAUUUUCCGUUAAAUUGUCGAACCAUAUCCAUAUCCAGGAUCUGGUUGACCUGGCCCAUGUCUUAGCACCAGUCCAUCGUGGAAUCUUUUGUGGAGCGUGCUUGCUGCAUUUAGGUGCCACCAGUCUGCCAGAAUGCUGUACUUAGAAGAUUACAUUGAAAUGAUCGAGCACCUGCCCCGGGAGCUGCGGGACAGCUUCACCGAGGUGCGGGAGAUCGACCUCCAGGUGCACACGGACGCCACGCCCAGCCGCCAGACGGGCAGCUCCCCAGCCAGCUCCACCCGGCACAUGCUCCGCUCCAUCGCCGUGCUGCGCCACGUGCUGGGCGAGCUGCGCGGCAGCCUGGCGAACGUCCCGGGC
Molecule: long non-coding RNA, 403 nt
Organism: Pollicipes pollicipes
Lineage: Eukaryota; Metazoa; Arthropoda; Thecostraca; Pollicipedomorpha; Pollicipedidae
Exons: 4
Source: RefSeq, a predicted model, not a curated record